Molecule: small RNA, 335 nt
Filed under: Histoplasma capsulatum var. duboisii H88
Lineage: Eukaryota; Fungi; Ascomycota; Eurotiomycetes; Onygenales; Ajellomycetaceae
Description: Histoplasma capsulatum H88 hypothetical RNA
Source: RNAcentral
AUCGGGUCAAGCCGAGAGUUGAAACAAUGAAUUACACAGUAAAGGGGUUGCGUUAUUUUUUCCCAAGAAGGAAAAAAAAAAAAGAAUGAAAAAAGGGUGAAAAAGCACCAAGCUAAGCCAAGCAAGGGGAAUUUAUGUUAGUAGUUGGUCUAUGCUGUCUGGUUUGUGAUUUUCCCCAGAAAAUAGAUCACCAGAGGACUUCUUAAGCGAACGAUACACGCUCAUUCGCUUGAGUAACUGACUACCGGCCACUGGAGGGAAUCAGAAAAAUUCUGUCGAUGGGGCCAAAAAACAAAAAAAGAAAAGAAAAGAAAAGAAAGUGAAAAACAGAGCCA